RNAcentral lists this ribosomal RNA (486 nucleotides) under uncultured bacterium. Its description in RNAcentral is "partial 16S ribosomal RNA". It matches the Rfam family "Bacterial small subunit ribosomal RNA", at positions 28 to 523 of the family's 1533-position model. The record is from RNAcentral.
GACGAACGCUGGCGGCGUGCUUAACACAUGCAAGUCGAACGAUGAAGCCCAGCUUGCUGGGUGGAUUAGUGGCGAACGGGUGAGUAACACGUGAGUAACCUGCCCUUGACUCUGGGACAAGCGCUGGAAACGGCGUCUAAUACCGGAUACGACCUGCCCCGGCAUCGGGUGCGGGUGGAAAGGUUUUUGGUCAAGGAUGGACUCGCGGCCAAUCAGCAAGUUGGUGAGGUAAUGGCUCACCAAGGCGACGACGGGUAGCCGGCCUGCGAGGGGGACCGGCCACACUGGGACUGAGACACGGCCCAGACUCCUACGGGAGGCAGCAGUGGGGAAUAUUGCACAAUGGGCGAAAGCCUGAUGCAGCAACGCCGCGUGGGGGAUGACGGCCUUCGGGUUGUAAACCUCUUUUAGUAGGGAAGAAGGGCUUCGGCUUGACGGUACCUGCAGAAAAAGCACCGGCUAACUACGUGCCAGCAGCCGCCGUAA